ACUCCUACGGGAGGCAGCAGUGGGGAAUAUUGCACAAUGGGCGCAAGCCUGAUGCAGCCAUGCCGCGUGUAUGAAGAAGGCCUUCGGGUUGUAAAGUACUUUCAGCAGUGAGGAAGGUGGAUAUGUUAAUAGCAUAUUCUAUUUGUACGUUAGCUGCAGAAGAAGCACCGGCUAACUCCGUGCCAGCAGCCGCGGUAAUACGGGAGGGUGCGAGCGUUAAUCGGAAUUACUGGGCGUAAGCGCAUGCAGGUGGUUUGUUAAGUCAGAUGUGAAAGCCCGGGGCUCAACCUCGGAAUUGCAUUUGAAACUGGCAAACUAGAGUACUGUAGAGGGGGUAGGAAUUUCAGGUGUAGCGGUGAAAUGCGUAGAGAUCUGAAGGAU
Molecule: ribosomal RNA, 381 nt
Filed under: uncultured bacterium
Lineage: Bacteria
Description: bacterial SSU rRNA
Rfam family: Bacterial small subunit ribosomal RNA
Source: RNAcentral